Molecule: transfer RNA, 72 nt
Filed under: Opsaridium microlepis (mpasa)
Lineage: Eukaryota; Metazoa; Chordata; Actinopteri; Cypriniformes; Danionidae
Description: tRNA-Val
Rfam family: tRNA
About the family: Transfer RNA (tRNA) molecules are approximately 80 nucleotides in length. Their secondary structure includes four short double-helical elements and three loops (D, anti-codon, and T loops). Further hydrogen bonds mediate the characteristic L-shaped molecular structure. tRNAs have two regions of fundamental functional importance: the anti-codon, which is responsible for specific mRNA codon recognition, and the 3' end, to which the tRNAs corresponding amino acid is attached (by aminoacyl-tRNA synthetases). tRNAs cope with the degeneracy of the genetic code in two manners: having more than one tRNA (with a specific anti-codon) for a particular amino acid; and 'wobble' base-pairing, i.e. permitting non-standard base-pairing at the 3rd anti-codon position.
Source: RNAcentral
CAGAAUGUAGCUUAACCAGAUGAGCAUCUCAUUUACACCGAGAGGGAACCCGUGCAAAUAGGGUCAUUCUGA